RNAcentral lists this long non-coding RNA (1937 nucleotides) under Mus musculus (house mouse). Its description in RNAcentral is "long non-coding RNA chr2:14944907-14946844". Lineage: Eukaryota; Metazoa; Chordata; Mammalia; Rodentia; Muridae. The record is from RNAcentral.
GAGAAAGGCACCCAGUAGUGUAGUCUUACUCAGUAUAUGUAUCAUCACAACUGGACCAGUAAGAUAUCCACAGUGGUAGAACAGUGGCACUUUUAUCGUGGUGGUAAUCACCAACUGUCUAAUUAGACUUAAAGGCCCACUCAGCAGGAGGGAAGUCAUGCUUGGUACUAUAAACCUACUUAGUCAUCUCCUUGUGGCUGGGAAGUCCUAGAGGAGAAUCUACCUUUGCCAACAUAAUGUUUGUUUACUAAACCAAUAUAGAGUCUUUUUUUUCUAAAUAUCUACCCUGAUACCCACAGAUAUAAGUAUGUACUCACUUAUCAAAGAAGCUCUGGGGUUUUUUGUUGUUGUAGUUGUUUUUGUUUUUUGCAACAGAUGGUCACCAUAACAUAGAUACACAUGUAAAGGAAAUGCAGAUAACAAAUGACUGUGUGGUACCCAACCCCAACUGAUAGAUCUGCAAUGCAAGCUCUAAACCCAGAGCUUAGGAAAAGCCAUGCAAGAGGGAGUAGAAACAGUGUAAAGUCAGAUGGUCAGGAUACCCAUUGAUAGAUUGUGCCCCCUAGACAUAAUAGGGGAAAGCCAUCCAUCAAGUCUCAGCAAUAUGACUGCCUGAACAAGGUCAAUGUCAGAAAUGGCAAUAGGAGUUGACAUACCAAUCCAGACAGGUCAAAUUCCACAUGAUUCCACCCACCCCUAGAGGAAGAGCUAUAGGAGGUCAAUGGCUUCUGAGGAAGGGAGAAUGAGUUGUCUUCAGGGACAAACUCCCACACAGCUUGUCCCAUUUCAAGUGGCUAGUCCUAGACACAUCCACACAAAGCUAAAUAGACUCAGAAGGAUACACACACACACACACACACACACACACACACACACGCACACACAUGCGCGCGCGCGCAUCUGUCAACAUAUACACAAAAAAAUACAGAUAUGCAAUUUUCUAUUCGGGGUCUUCCUAAGUCGGGUCCACGCAGGAGAGUGCGUGGGUAACAGAAGCAACAGAGCUUCUUGGACGGGGUCCCUUCCAGCCUUCAUCCUCAGCCAGGAAGUGGACCUGAUCUGAUCCUCAGUCCUCUGUAUACCUUCCCUGCCAGAGGAGAAAUGACCUCCAGGGAGUGCUCUGACCCCAGGACUCAAGUGUGAUCUCUAUUUUUCUAUCCAGGACCUCUCUGAGUCAGGUCUGCCAAGGAGAGCUCACUGGCCACAGAAGCAACAGAGCUUCUAGGACAGGGUCUCUUUGGGUCUUCAUCCACAUCCAGGAGGCAGAGAUGAUCCUGAGAGCUCUGUGCACCUUCCCCGCCAGAGGGGAGAUUGCCUACAGGGAGUGCUCUGACCCCCAGGACUCUGGAGAGAGCUGGUCUCCCAGGAGUUCUGACAGAGGCUAACAGACUCACAGGAGGAACAAGCUCCAGCCAGAGACAGCUAGAACAUCUAACAAAAGAGAUUACCAGAUGAUGAAAGGCAAAUAUAAGAAUUUUACUAACAGAAACCAAGACCACUCCGCACCAUCAGAACCAAGUACUCCUACAGUAGCAAGUCCUGGAUACCCCAACACACCAGAAAAGCAAGAUUUGGAUUUAAAAUCAUAUCUCAUGAUGCUGGUAGAGGAUUUUAAGUAGGACAUUAAUAGCUCCCUUAAAAAAAUACAGGAGAACACAGCUAAACAGGUAGACGUUCUUACAAAGGAAACAUAAAAAUACCUUAAAGAAUUACAGGAAAACACAACCAAACAGGUGAAAGAAUUGAACAAAACUAUUCAAGAUCUAACAAUGGAAGUAGAAACACUAUAGAAAAUUCAAAGGUAGACAACCCUGGAGAUAGAAAUCCUAGGAAAGAAAUCAGGAACCAUAGAUGUGAGCAUCAGCAACAAAAUACAAGAUAUGGGUGAGAGAAUCUCAGAUGCAGAAGAUUCCACAGAAAACAUGGACAAAACAAUC